Molecule: small RNA, 596 nt
Filed under: Streptomyces coelicolor
Lineage: Bacteria; Bacillati; Actinomycetota; Actinomycetes; Kitasatosporales; Streptomycetaceae
Description: bacterial SSU rRNA
Rfam family: Bacterial small subunit ribosomal RNA (bases 1-332)
Source: RNAcentral
UGUCUUGGGCUGCACACGUGCUACAAUGGCCGGUACAAUGAGCUGCGAUACCGCAAGGUGGAGCGAAUCUCAAAAAGCCGGUCUCAGUUCGGAUUGGGGUCUGCAACUCGACCCCAUGAAGUCGGAGUCGCUAGUAAUCGCAGAUCAGCAUUGCUGCGGUGAAUACGUUCCCGGGCCUUGUACACACCGCCCGUCACGUCACGAAAGUCGGUAACACCCGAAGCCGGUGGCCCAACCCCUUGUGGGAGGGAGCUGUCGAAGGUGGGACUGGCGAUUGGGACGAAGUCGUAACAAGGUAGCCGUACCGGAAGGUGCGAAGGAGCACAUAGCCGACUGCAGGCAAAUGUCCUGCACGGUUGCUCAUGGGUGGAACGUUCACUACUCGGCAGACUUGAUCCUGAUCUUCUCGUCAGUACUGCUUCGGCGUGGAACACGAGUAAGGGAAGGCAAGGGUGUCGGGCACGCUGUUGGGUAUCUGAGGGUACGGCCGUGAGGUCGCCUUCAGUUGCCGGCCCCAGUGCACUCGGGAUGUAGGUUCCGGGGUGUUGGGUGGUUGGUCGUUGUUUGAGAACUGCAGGCCAAGUUUUUAAGGGCGC